GCUUUGUUUCUUCCUCUCCUAGUGCUAUAAACAUGGCAAGCCAAAGGAAGACAUUAGAAAACAACACAAGGAAGCUAUGAAGGCUGUUGAGAAAGCAAAGAAGCCAGCUGGACCGGUUUAUUUCCUGUGGGAGGAGGGCUKCACAAAACGCUGCGAGUCAAGGUCCUCUCUGACUACAGCUGACAUCAGAAGAAUUCAGCAUCUUCAGUCUAA
This 213-nucleotide long non-coding RNA is filed under the name Dromaius novaehollandiae (emu). RNAcentral's name for it is "lncRNA (ENSDNVG00000002797.1)". The record is from RNAcentral. Lineage: Eukaryota; Metazoa; Chordata; Aves; Casuariiformes; Dromaiidae.